CUACGUAUGGGUGGGCACUCUAAGGAGACUGCCGGUGACAAACCGGAGGAAGGUGGGGAUGACGUCAAGUCAUCAUGGCCCUUACGGCCUGGGCUACACACGUGCUACAAUGGUCGGUACAAAGGGGUUGCCAAGCCGCGAGGUGGAGCUAAUCCCAUAAAACCGAUCGUAGUCCGGAUCGCAGUCUGCAACUCGACUGCGUGAAGUCGGAAUCGCUAGUAAUCGUGAAUCAGAAUGUCACGGUGAAUACGUUCCCGGGCCUU
RNAcentral lists this ribosomal RNA (263 nucleotides) under uncultured Pseudomonas sp. RNAcentral's name for it is "partial 16S ribosomal RNA". It matches the Rfam family "Bacterial small subunit ribosomal RNA", at positions 1121 to 1382 of the family's 1533-position model. Lineage: Bacteria; Pseudomonadati; Pseudomonadota; Gammaproteobacteria; Pseudomonadales; Pseudomonadaceae. The record is from RNAcentral.